Molecule: unclassified non-coding RNA, 283 nt
Organism: Cricetulus griseus (Chinese hamster)
Lineage: Eukaryota; Metazoa; Chordata; Mammalia; Rodentia; Cricetidae
Gene: 7SK
Rfam family: 7SK RNA
About the family: 7SK was discovered as an abundant small nuclear RNA in the mid-70s but a possible function has only recently been suggested. Two independent studies have found that 7SK RNA binds the CDK9/cyclin T complex (known as elongation factor P-TEFb).
Source: Ensembl
AAAGGUUAUGGGUGAUGUGAGCGUGCUCGAGUGAGACAUCUGUCACCCCACUGAUUACUAGUGACUGGCUUCUUCCUCUCUUACCCCUUCAUGUUCAUGCUAUCCAAAGCUGCAAGCUUAGUUGAAGAGGAGGGAUCUUUUUAGAUAGAGCAGGACUCUUUUGGGGCCCAGGGUAUACCAGGAGAUGCAUUCCCCAGCUAGAAACUCCAAACUAGCUCUCAAAGUCCAAAAGCUUCUGGGAAUUCAAUUCAGGCAGCGAACAGUGUGGGAUGAAUCCCUACUC